UUCCUGGGCUAUGCGCCAGCAACGAAGACCUCGAGCCGAUAUUAACACCUACGGGUGCCUUUUAGCCGUUGAUGUGUGCAUGUCCGAUCUUUCGGAAAGCCUAAUUCUUCGCUUGGGCCCCUCCUUGAACCUUACGGUUCAAGGCCUUCAUCUGCAGCGGUAGUUUGGGAA
RNAcentral lists this non-coding RNA (171 nucleotides) under marine eukaryotic metagenome. RNAcentral's name for it is "6S / SsrS RNA". It matches the Rfam family "6S / SsrS RNA". Rfam says of the family: E. coli 6S RNA was the first non coding RNA to be sequenced, but its function was unknown until recently. It consists of 184 nucleotides that fold into an extended hairpin structure with a large single-stranded internal bulge. The record is from RNAcentral.